This 466-nucleotide ribosomal RNA is filed under the name uncultured bacterium. Its description in RNAcentral is "partial 16S ribosomal RNA". It matches the Rfam family "Bacterial small subunit ribosomal RNA", at positions 28 to 507 of the family's 1533-position model. The record is from RNAcentral.
GAUGAACGCUGGCGGCGUGCUUAACACAUGCAAGUCGAACGGAAAGGCCCAAGCUUGCUUGGGUGCUCGAGUGGCGAACGGGUGAGUAACACGUGGGUGAUCUGCCCUGCACUUUGGGAUAAGCCUGGGAAACUGGGUCUAAUACCGGAUAGGACCAUCGUUUAGUGUCGGUGGUGGAAAGUUUUUCGGUGUGGGAUGAGCUCGCGGCCUAUCAGCUUGUUGGUGGGGUAAUGGCCUACCAAGGCGUCGACGGGUAGCCGGCCUGGGAGGGUGUACGGCCACAUUGGGAAUGAGAUACGGCCCAGAAGCCGACGGGAGGAAGAAGUGGGGAAGAUUGCACAAGGGGCGCAAGCCUGAUGCAGCGAAGCCGCGGGGGGGAGGACGGGCUUCGGGUUGGAAACUCCUUUCGCCAAGGACGAAGCGUUUUGUGACGGUACUUGGAGAAGAAGCACCGGCUAACUACGUG